GGAAUGUAGCCAGAAAUGUCGGCAUGUAACAGUCACAAACUCCACCAGCGGUUAGCAGUAGUUGGAUAAAAGCCCCCCAUUUCUGCACCAGUCCGUGUCCGUGUUAACACAGCCCACCUCUAUGGGAC
Etheostoma spectabile (orangethroat darter) is the source of this 128-nucleotide long non-coding RNA. RefSeq lists it as uncharacterized. The transcript is spliced from 3 exons. The record is from RefSeq and is a predicted model, not a curated record. Lineage: Eukaryota; Metazoa; Chordata; Actinopteri; Perciformes; Percidae.